CCUACGGGUGGCAGCAGUGAGGAAUAUUGCACAAUGGGCGAAAGCCUGAUGCAGCAACGCCGCGUGAGGGACGAAGGCCUUCGGGUUGUAAACCUCUUUUCUGAGAGACGAGACAAGGACGGUACCUCAGGAAUAAGUCUCGGCUAACUACGUGCCAGCAGCCGCGGUAAGACGUAGGAGGCGAGCGUUAUCCGGAUUUACUGGGCGUAAAGCGCACGCAGGCGGCUUCGUUAGUCGGAUGUGAAAGCUCCUGGCUUAACUGGGAGAGGCCAUUCGAUAC
RNAcentral lists this ribosomal RNA (280 nucleotides) under uncultured bacterium. Its description in RNAcentral is "partial 16S ribosomal RNA". It matches the Rfam family "Bacterial small subunit ribosomal RNA", at positions 338 to 633 of the family's 1533-position model. The record is from RNAcentral.